GACGCUUGCCAAACAGAGCGCACUCAAAAUUAGGAGAAGCAAGCCACCUAAAAACCUUUUUAGGCAUGACACUGCAUGCUUACUGGUGAUAUUACUGCUCCUACUUUAUCAGAAGUGGAUUCAAGUUGAGGCUGACCAUACAACUGUGUAAUGCUUUUUUGGGAGAAAAAGUAACCUGAUGGAGUUUAUGGACGAUGCAAUCGUUUGUUCUCCUCGCUUCUCUGUGUGGAUGCGUCCUUUGCUCAGUCUGGCCUUAUCAGAUGCAGUGUUACCACUGUGAAGAGACUCUGUUGGACAAUGACUGUUCAGCUCCAAAAUUCAUUGUCAACUGCACAGCAAACAUCCAGAAUGCCUGUCAGAAGGAGGUGAUUGUGGGUGAAAAUGGUGUGAUUUACAGGAAGGCCUGUGCCUCCUUCUCCACCUGUCUGAUUGUUUCAGCAGGGUAUCAGUCUUUCUGUGUCCCAGGUCGGGUGGGCUCUGUCUGCAUUAGCUGCUGUAACACCCCCCUCUGCAACGGACCCCGCCCCCCCAGGAUCUCCCUGGCCCCCAGCCAUCCCCCCACUGCACUCCUCCUCAUCAUCACUGUUUCCAUGGCAACACUGCCCUGAUAUGGACACUGGUAUUGUCUAGAUUGGACUGAAUGUUCUCAGGUGUGGAGGUGCCUGGUGUUGGAGCAAACACUGUCCUGAGAGAUGACUGGACAAGGAUUCUGAAAUCAAAGCAACAGAGCUGUCCGACACAUACCGGUCCGUUGACGGAAGUGAGAAAUUUAGGAAGUAUAUUAAGUCUGACCCAAAAGUUCUUAAAUAUGUUGCAUCCAUAGUAAAUUACACUUUAAUCAUUUGUGCAGACUGCACCGAAUCAAAUAACUAGUGUUUAUAUCCCAGAGAUGACAGGGUACAUUCAGUACUAUACACAAUGUUUACAGUUAGGAUGACACACUUGGUGUACAAAGAAAAUUAGGAACACUUUCUAAUAUUAAGUUACAUUCCUUUUUACCCUCAGAACAGCCUCAAUUCAUCAGGGCAUGGACUCUACAAGGUGUCGAAAGCGUUCCACAGGGAUGCUGGCCCAUGUUGAUGCCAAAUGCUUCCCACAGUUGUGUCAAGUUACCAUUUUUGAUACACACACACACAGGAAACGGUUGCGCAUGAAAAACCCAGUAGCAUUGCAGUUCUUGGCAGAAACCGGUGUGCCUGGCACCUACCAUACCUCGUUCAAAGGCACUUUGGUCUUUCCCGUUUACCCUCUGAAUGGCACACAUACACAACCCAUGACUCAAAGCUUAAUGUCUCCUCCCCUUCAUCUACACUGAUUGAAGUGGAUUUAACAGAUGACAUCAGUAAAGGAUAGCUUUCACCUGGUCAGUCUCAUGGAAAGAGCAGUUGUUCCUAAUGGUUUUGUACACUGUCAGAUAGAAGUGACUAAACCCUGUUAAAAAUCCCCAUAGGGAUGGAUGUGUGCUACUUUGCAACCAUUAUUAAAACAUGAGCAUAAGUGUCAUUGACUUAAUCAACCUUUAUUUUAACAAAUUUAAAUUACAUUAAAUGUAGCAGAAUUACAAAAGUAAUUCCCAUAAAAGCAAAACUAAUUUCACAGUAUAAGAUAUGCAGUUUUCAUUUUUGAAACAGUAAAAUCCUCAGUUGAAAAGCAACAGGUGAUUAGUUUGGUAAACUUGUAUUGUUAUUGGCACUUCUAAGAAAAUAAAGCAUUGAGCUGCAUAGCAGAGGAUGUUUGACUGCCAGAUUAUCUGUUCAAUGUCAUUCAAUUAAAAAAGGUUAAAAAAAAAAUGACUACGACCCAUAUCAGAAAAAGUACAUUUCACGUCAUCUAGAUUACCAACAUCAAGCGAGAGGUUGAAACAUUUGUAAUGGCUAAUCCUUUAGCCAAGCUAUUCCUGGGUAGAUGAGGACAAGCUCUGACUGGUAACUGGAUGCUAUGCAAUGUGAUUCAGUGAGUUAAUUGACUUUGGCAGUACUGCCAAACCUUCUCAAUUAAUCCCGUAACCCCUGUCACAGGGGAUUCUCUCAAUAAAACCAAGUGCACCUUGAAAAUAAAUGUUGUUACCCCUGCACAUAGGGAAUAACAUGAAGAUUAGUGGGAUUUCUUUCAUAUCACCUAAUUAAUUACAUGAAACACAGAUUCUCUACUGAUCACCUCUAUUUCAAGCACUGAAUCUUUGUUAGUUUUGGAAAGAGAACAAGCUUGACAAAAUUCAUUAUCAGGAAAAUAUAUCACACUUCUCAAUACAAGUCCAUCCAUAAAACAUCAUUUCUUGACACCAUAGCAGACAACAUCACCAGCAA
Long non-coding RNA from Oncorhynchus masou masou (cherry salmon), 2306 nucleotides. RefSeq lists it as uncharacterized. The transcript is spliced from 3 exons. The record is from RefSeq and is a predicted model, not a curated record. Lineage: Eukaryota; Metazoa; Chordata; Actinopteri; Salmoniformes; Salmonidae.